CCGUGACACUGACUAGACAAGAGCGUUGUGCCAUAUUGCGCAUGUGCGAAUGUCCCGCUGCGCGUAUAUGCAGUUUUGUUUUUCCCCACCAAGCAGGAUGAUGUCUAUAACAUACUAGCACACUAAUUAAGCGCCAAAAUUAAAUUUUCCCCUUCUAAUGGAUAGUUUAAGCUUUUUGAUGCGUUUUGGUAAGGGUUUUGUUCUGUUUUGUGGCAGUUUUUUGUCUUUUUUUUCUGGUGGCUUGGUCAGUUGUAGGUGUAAAGGUACAGUGCAUUUAAAGGCAUAUUUCCCUUUUAUUAUCAUUUUUUUAUUUUGGACCCUUUUACGGCUGC
This is a non-coding RNA of Pelobates cultripes (western spadefoot toad), 332 nucleotides long. The record is from the annotation of a GenBank genome assembly. NCBI's taxonomy places the organism in Eukaryota, Metazoa, Chordata, Amphibia, Anura, Pelobatidae.